This 240-nucleotide unclassified non-coding RNA is filed under the name soil metagenome. RNAcentral's name for it is "partial contains 5.8S ribosomal RNA, internal transcribed spacer 2, and large subunit ribosomal RNA". The record is from RNAcentral.
AACAUCGCGCACCUGCGGGAACCUGCGGAAGGAUCAUUACAGAGGCGAUGCCCUUUAUGGGUAGACCUUCCACCCAGUGUGAAUAUUCUUUGUUGCUUUGGCGAGUCGUAAGGCGAAGCCUUUCCACUGGCUUUUUCCGGCUGGUGCGUACCCGUCAGACGAAAAACUCUGAAUAUUAGUGUUGUCUGAGUUCUAUUAAAGUAAUUAAAACUUUCAGCAACGGAUCUCAGAUCGGAAGAG